UAGGGAAUCUUCCACAAUGGGCGCAAGCCUGACCGAGCAACGCCGCGUGAGUGAAGAAGGUUUUCGGAUCGUAAAGCUCUGUUGUAAGAGAAGAACGUGUGUGAGAGUGGAAAGUUCACACAGUGACGGUAACUUACCAGAAAGGGACGGCUAACUACGUGCCAG
Molecule: ribosomal RNA, 165 nt
Filed under: uncultured bacterium
Lineage: Bacteria
Description: partial 16S rRNA
Rfam family: Bacterial small subunit ribosomal RNA
Source: RNAcentral